AUUAACAAAUGCGAAAUUGAACGGGCAGAACCCUAAUUCCCUGUUCCUCUUCUCAAAACAGUCCAAAACGUUCUACCUCACCCGAUUUCGCCCCAAAAAUUCACCUCAUGCCCUCUUUUCCUCUCUAUUAUUGCCACAUGGGUGUAACGACCUCUGACAACAACAAGAUUCCCUCCUCACUCGCCCGUUUUCAAGCUAUCUCACGCGGAUUAGAAGGCUCUAGAAGAAGGGUGUUGGAUUAGUGAGAAGCGUCGGAUCGAUUUGAUUCAAUCCGAGCCUCACGUUCAUCAAAUGCUCGUUUUCAAGAGAGCCUCAUUCGUAUUUCGUGAAGAGGGGGAAAGGAUCGAGAGUUUUGAUAUAAGGGACCAUUUCGAGUAAGUAGUGGGGGAUUGUUUUUGGAGUCGAAAAGAUUGAAAAAAUAAGCUUGAGAGUUCAUUCAGUUUUCAUGGAGUUAUUUUGGAUUUUAAUUUUGAUUCUGGAAGAAAAGGCUAAGAUAUUCCAGUUUCUUUUGGUUUUGAUUCCUGGUUCUGUUUCAGAAAAUCUAAAAAAAAAAGAAGUUUUCACUAUCUUUCUUUGAUUCCUUUCAUAAAUAGAGAUGGAUUGAGUUUGCCCGAGUUUUCUUUUUUGUCCUGUUUGUUUUAUAAUUUCACUGGAGAUCAGUUUUGAUUAGCAUUUCGAUGCACUAGAGUUUUCUUUGAUUUCAGUUCUGGUUUUCGGACGAACAAUGGCACUCGUAGAGAAAUUUGAGUCUGCUGUUGUCUGAGCUUCUGAUUUCAACCCAUUAGCUUCCAGGUCUCGUUUAUAUUCCAAGCUCGUACAAAGUUAAACGGGUUGUUUAUUGAUUCAGGUUUGCUUUUAAUCCCAUGUAGCCUAUCUUUGGCAUUUUGAUUAUGAAAUGUGACUGUUUGGUCGUAAUGUGUUGGUUUUCCAUUUGCACGAGUAUGUCUGGUUUGACUCGGUUGUGUAUAUGUCAUUGAUUUCUGAUUGUGCUGUGUAUUUAGAACUAUUGCGAUCGUCUGUUAAAUUCUGUUACAUUCUGGUCGAACCGUCUUCAUGACUAGUUGAGUUCUUCAGAAGUUUCCUUUUGGUUAAGUUAGAAUUAAAAAAAAUUAAUAUGAGUAAUUAUUUGCUGCUGUAGUUUGAAUUGUGAGUGAGGGAUGAAACUAUCUUUGAGAUGCUGAGAAAUUGAAAGCCUCUUGUGGUUUGAAUCUGAAAUAUUGGAAACCUUGUUCUGGCUUCUUCCUUUUAGUGUGGAUUUUGUUGAUAUUUGCUAGCAAUUUAGCUAAGUAUCAGUUCUGAUUCGUGUUGGCUUCGCGCUAGAUUUAUUUGUUUCUUGAUGAUUCUAGUUUGAAACUAAUUAAUCCGCUGCUUGAACUAUUUGAGUUCCAUCCUGAUUUGUCUUAGCCUCAUUUUGGUUCAUCUUAGUUGAUACAUUGUUUAAUGAAGUAAGUUGUAAACCUUUGUGACACUAUAUCACUUAACAACUGAAACUGUUGGUUUUCAUUUAAAUAGCUGAAUCUAUUCGGAGCUGUCAUCUCUAAUUUUCCUUGGUUUUCGAACGAGAAGUUUGCUAGACGUGUUAUUGCUUGGUAAUAGGAUUACUGUUGAUCAUACAUCUUUGUUGCAUAUUGAGUUGAAUACCAGUUAGGAUGUUCUUGCUUUAUUUAUUGUUAAAAACAAUGAAAAGCAGUACUGUAGCUGCAUGCUUGUUUUAGUCGACUGUAUUUCAAAUCUUAUUUCAGUUUUUUCAUGGUUAUUAUGUUUGAUGUGGUGCAUCAGUCAAGCCAGUGCAUAUGUUGAAGAGUCGUGUCUAAUGUGAAUCUGAGUUAGCCGGAGUUUACUCCACGGAAAACCUGCCCUAUUUUGCACUGUUGCAUAUGUUGAAGAGUUGUGUCUAAUGUGAAUCUGAGUUAGCUGGGGUUUACUCCAUGGAAAACCUGCCCCGUUUUGCACUAUUCGAGUGUUAAUUUCGAGGGCUAAUUCUGUGAGGCUUGGAUUGUUUUGAGCCAUGGGGUGUAAUGUGUCGUCAUUAAUUCACUAUUUCAGCAUAGCUAGGCCUACCAGUUCUUCUUCACCUCUCUUUAGGCCAUUUUUUUAACUUCAAUUAGUAAUACAUCCAUGCUCAACUGGAUGUGUGUCGAUAUUUGAAGUGUUUGUGUGUCUUGUUCUUAUUGUACUAUUGAGGUGAGGUCGUCAACUGGAUUUUCUCUAAAGGUGUCUCAAAAAUGAUAUCUUAGCUUGGUGAACUAGUUUUCACAACAAAAAAAAAAAAAACAAAAAAAGAGAAUUCUAUGAGAUCCAGAAGCUUAUUUUAGUGUGUGUUCUUCCAUCUCAAUGAUUUCUGGAUUUUCGCUUGCUUCUGGGGUUAAGCUGGAGCUGUGUUACUGAUUUUGCAUUGCGAACUCCUCUCAUCUUGACAUUCUCCCCUACUUGGCUGGUGAUUCUUCUAUUUUUGGAUUGCAAACUAGGUACAAAUUAAGUCCAUUAUAUAUGUGUUGGUUUUUUUGUGCGACUGUUGGAUUGAAUUAACCUCGAAAUAUGAUUAAUGAGUUUGUUUAAAUAUGAUUCUUAAUUUCGUCAACUUAGUUUAGGAUGUGAUCAUUUUGUUGCCUUGUGUUAGUAGAUAAUUAAGACAAAAUUUUCAGUUGGGCAUUUGCCCAUUUUUGUGCUAGCACUAGGAGCUGUAAGUCUUAUUCUAAGUAUGCCUUUGUUUGAUUUGUUAUUUUUUAUCUCCUCUUUCUUUUAGGCGUUUUUUUCCUUUUCUGAAUGCCAUAUAUCUCAUUGUGUGCAUGUCUUAUAUUGAUGGAUAUAGGUCGUGGUUUGAGUUUAAAGGUUGAAUAAAUUCCUGAAUAUCCGUAGUUUAUUUUAAUUGAGCAAAGCCCUUUUGGAAUAAUUGGAGAUGCACCAUGCCAAACAUAAAAUAUUUUAAUUGUGUGGCCCUCAUUUUAAUUUUGUAUUGAUCCUUAGAAUUUGAGACGUGCCAUUUAGCAAAUUUCAUGGCCCUCGCAAAGUACAAAAUGCGUUAUAAUCUUUAGGCGCGUUUUAAUUAAAUUACUUUCCUAAAUUCGGGUGUGCAUUGAUGCGACCCAAAUCCAAAUCUCGAAGAAGUCGAAAUGUGUUGACGACCACGGGUUCCUUGAUGGCGACGGGGUCAGAGACGCGUUUUCACGACGUCGCAAUUCUUAUAAAACAAAUGACGGUCGAAAAAGGGUUCAAUAAAUUGUGACGAGCCUCACCGAACUAAAUAAAUGUGAGGUCCUCAACAAUUGUUUAUUCAAACAAUUAGAAUUUGGAAGGACCGUUUAGUGAAUUUCCACGGCCUUUCCCAAACAAUAUUACGUUAGAACCUUUAAGCGCGAUUUAAUUAAACUACGUCCUUAAACUCGGGUGCGCAUUGAUGCGACCCAAAUCCAAAUCUCGACGAAGUCGAAGUGUGUUGACGAACACGGGUGCCUUGAUGGCGACGUGGUCAGAAACCCAUUUUCACGACAUCGAAAGUCUUUUAAAAUAAAUAAUGGUUAAAGCGGUUUAUAAAUAAAAGCACAUAAACUAGCAUGUAAUAAACUAGCAUGUAAUAAAAUCAGAUAAAAUCAAAUACAACAGUUAAGCGAUCGUGCUAGAACCACGGAACCCGGGAAUGCCUAACACCUUCUCUCGGGUUAAUAGAAUUCCUUAUCCGGAUUUUGAUUCGCGGACUGUGAAUAGAGUCAAUUUUUUCCUCGGUUCGGGAUUCAAUUGGUGACUUGGGACACCAUUAAUCUCCCAAGUGGCGACU
Molecule: long non-coding RNA, 3775 nt
Filed under: Nicotiana benthamiana
Lineage: Eukaryota; Viridiplantae; Streptophyta; Magnoliopsida; Solanales; Solanaceae
Description: long non-coding RNA (NBEN_LNC015920)
Source: RNAcentral